UCCGGCUUAUGCCGGCAGUCCCACUAAAGUGCCAAACUUAAUUGGGGCAACUAGUGGUAAGGGUCGCGCUCGUUGCGUCACUUAAGACAACAUCUCACGACACGAGCUGACGACAGCCAUGCAGCACCUGUGUCUAGGUUCCCGAAGGCACAACUCGAUCUCUCGAGUCUUCCUAGCAUGUCAAGAGCAGGUAAGGUUUUUCGCGUAGCAUCGAAUUAAUCCACAUCAUCCACCGCUUGUGCGGGUCCCCGUCAAUUCCUUUGAGUUUUAAUCUUGCGACCGUACUCCCCAGGCGGUCUACUUCUCGCGUUAGCUUCGCUACUAAGACUAAUCCCAACAGCAAGUAGACAUAGUUUACAGCGUGGACUAC
Molecule: unclassified non-coding RNA, 370 nt
Filed under: uncultured Gammaproteobacteria bacterium
Lineage: Bacteria; Pseudomonadati; Pseudomonadota; Gammaproteobacteria
Description: contains 16S-23S intergenic spacer region
Source: RNAcentral